UACGAGGGGGGCUAGCGUUGUUCGGAAUUACUGGGCGUAAAGGGCGCGUAGGCGGACAGUUUAGUCAGAGGUGAAAGCCCAGGGCUCAACCUUGGAAUAGCCUUUGAUACUGACUGUCUUGAGUUCGGGAGAGGUGAGUGGAAUGCCGAGUGUAGAGGUGAAAUUCGUAGAUAUUCGGCGGAACACCAGUGGCGAAGGCGACUCACUGGCCCGAUACUGACGCUGAGGCGCGAAAGCGUGGGGAGCAAACAGG
Molecule: ribosomal RNA, 253 nt
Filed under: uncultured bacterium
Lineage: Bacteria
Description: partial 16S ribosomal RNA
Rfam family: Bacterial small subunit ribosomal RNA
Source: RNAcentral